CUCUGGAAGGCCUUUGGAAUUAAACUUCAUCAGCAUGUUGGAAUUCGGGGUUUGGUGCAUUCAUAUGUAUUUCAAAAUUUUUAUUUUCUAAAUAUUAUAGUAGAGAAUAAGAUUAAAAUAUUUUUAAUUUAAAUUUUAUAUGCAUAAAAAUAUAAAACCACAUGGAUCUGUUUCAUAUGCUGAAAUUGAUAUAUGCUAAAAUUUAGAUUGUGAUU
This 215-nucleotide long non-coding RNA is filed under the name Elaeis guineensis (African oil palm). Its description in RNAcentral is "long non-coding RNA (EGUI_LNC017123)". Lineage: Eukaryota; Viridiplantae; Streptophyta; Magnoliopsida; Arecales; Arecaceae. The record is from RNAcentral.